CUGAGAGGGUGACCGGCCAAAUUGGGACUGAGACACGGCCCAAACUCCUACGGGAGGCAGCAGUGGGGAAUAUUGCACAAUGGGGUAAACCCUGAUGCAGCGACGCCGCGUGAAGGAUGAAGUAUUUCGGUAUGUAAACUUCUAUCAGCAGGGAAGAAAAUGACGGUACCUGACUAAGAAACCCCGGCUAACUACGUGCCAGCAGC
RNAcentral lists this ribosomal RNA (206 nucleotides) under uncultured bacterium. Its description in RNAcentral is "partial 16S ribosomal RNA". It matches the Rfam family "Bacterial small subunit ribosomal RNA", at positions 292 to 515 of the family's 1533-position model. The record is from RNAcentral.